GACGAACGCUGGCGGCGUGCCUAAUACAUGCAAGUAGAACGCUGAAGAGAGGAGCUUACUCUUCUUGGAUGAGUUGCGAACGGGUGAGUAACGCGUAGGUAACCUGCCUUGUAGCGGGGGAUAACUAUUGGAAACGAUAGCUAAUACCGCAUAACAAUGGAUGACACAUGUCAUUUAUUUGAAAGGGGCAAUUGCUCCACUACAAGAUGGACCUGCGUUGUAUUAGCUAGUAGGUGAGGUAAUGGCUCACCUAAGCGACGAUACAUAGCCGACCUGAGAGGGUGAUCAGGCAAACUGGGACUGGGACGAGGCCCAGACUCCUACGGGAGGGAGCAGUAGGGAAUCUUCGGCAAUGGGGGCAAACCUGACCGAGCAACGCCGGGGGAGGGAAGAAGGGUUUCGGAUCGGAAAGCUCUGUUGUAAGUCAAGAACGGGUGUGAGAGUGGAAAGUUCACACUGUGACGGUAGCUUACCAGAAAGGGACGGCUAACUACGUG
Molecule: ribosomal RNA, 497 nt
Filed under: uncultured bacterium
Lineage: Bacteria
Description: partial 16S ribosomal RNA
Rfam family: Bacterial small subunit ribosomal RNA
Source: RNAcentral